AUGAGCGACGGUGGCGACUCCGUCUCCAGCGAUGACUGCAUCAACGACUGCCUUGAGGCGUGCUGCUGCGACUGCUUCUGGGAUGCCAUCUGCUUCCGCAUCCUCUGUGCUCUCGUGAUCGUCACCGUCCUCGCCGCCGUGGUCACCCUGCUCGUCUUCGCCUUCGUCCCCUGCCCCGUCCGCGUCAGCGUCGAGGACGCGGCCAUCUCCCGCCUCGGCCUCGCCGUCGAAAACGCCACGGCCACGGCGCUCGCCUACGACAUCUCGCUCGCCGUCGCCGUGCACAACGACAACUGGCUCAUGCGCGCCGUGCACACCGCGCCGCUCGACGCGGAGCUGCUCUUCGCCGGCGCGCGCUUCGCCCGCGUCCGUCUGGCGGCCGCAGGGGCCGUGGUCCGACCGGGGCGCAUGGAGGUGUACCAUGCCACGGCGGUGGCCGACAACACGAGCGUCGCGCUGGGGAACGCAGGGGUGGGGGAGUUCCUCAGGGAGAGCGCGGCGGGGGUGUUCCGGAUGGAGGUCAAGGUUGUCGGGCAGGUCAGGUACCGGCCGCACCACAAGCUGCACUGGCUCGACGCCAUCUGCCGGCUAGAGUUGGCUCUGUCAACGGCAACCUCGCCGGCGAUGUUCAAGAAGGUCAAGUGCGAUGUUCAGAAAGGCCAUUGA
RNAcentral lists this ribosomal RNA (666 nucleotides) under Triticum aestivum (bread wheat). Its description in RNAcentral is "partial small subunit ribosomal RNA". Lineage: Eukaryota; Viridiplantae; Streptophyta; Magnoliopsida; Poales; Poaceae. The record is from RNAcentral.